RNAcentral lists this ribosomal RNA (492 nucleotides) under uncultured bacterium. RNAcentral's name for it is "partial 16S ribosomal RNA". It matches the Rfam family "Bacterial small subunit ribosomal RNA", at positions 29 to 507 of the family's 1533-position model. The record is from RNAcentral.
AGUGAACGCUGGCGGUAGGCCUAACACAUGCAAGUCGAACGGCAGCACAGUAAGAGCUUGCUCUUACGGGUGGCGAGUGGCGGACGGGUGAGGAAUACAUCGGAAUCUACUUUUUCGUGGGUGAUAACGUAGGGAAACUUACGCCAAUACCGCAUACGACCUACGGGUGAAAGCAGGGGAUCUUCGGACCUCGCGCGAUCCAAUGAGCCGUGGUCGGAUUAGCUAGUUGGCGGGGUAAAGGCCCACCAAUGCGACGAUCCGUAGCUGGUCUGAGAGGGUGAUCAGCCACACUGGAACUGAGACACGGUCCAGACUCCUACGGGAGGCAGCAGUGGGGAAUAUUGGACAAUGGGCGCAAGCCUGAUCCAGCCAUACCGCGUGGGUGAAGAAGGCCUUCGGGUUGUAAAGCCCUUUUGUUGGGAAAGAAAAGCAGCAGGUUAAUACCCCGCUGUUCUGACGGUACCCAAAGAAUAAGCACCGGCUAACUUCGUG